AAUAUUGGACUAUGGGGGGAACCCUGAUCCAGCCUUGCCGUGUGUGUGAAGAAGUUCUUCGGAUUGUAAAGCACUUUAAGUUGGGAGGAAGAGUUGUAGGCUAAUACCUUGCAAUUUUGACGUUACCGACAGAAUAAGCACCUGCUAACUUCGUGCCAGCAGCCGCGGUAAUACGAAGGGUGCAAGCGUUAAUCGGAAUUACUCGGCGUAAAGCGCGCGUAGGUGGUGCGUUAAGUUGGAAGUGAAAGCCCCGGGCUUAACCUGGGAAUUGCUUUCAAAACUGACGAGCUAGAGUACGGUAGAGGGUAGUGGAAUUUCCUGUGUAGCGGUGAAAUGCGUAGAUAUAGGAAGGAACAUCAGUGGCGAAGGCGACUACCUGGACUGAUACUGACACUGAGGUGCGAAAGCGUGGGGAGCAAACAGG
This 424-nucleotide ribosomal RNA is filed under the name uncultured bacterium. RNAcentral's name for it is "partial 16S ribosomal RNA". It matches the Rfam family "Bacterial small subunit ribosomal RNA", at positions 360 to 776 of the family's 1533-position model. The record is from RNAcentral.